Molecule: ribosomal RNA, 293 nt
Filed under: uncultured Pirellula sp.
Lineage: Bacteria; Pseudomonadati; Planctomycetota; Planctomycetia; Pirellulales; Pirellulaceae
Description: partial 16S ribosomal RNA
Rfam family: Bacterial small subunit ribosomal RNA
Source: RNAcentral
UUGACGGGGGCUCACACAAGCGGUGGAGGAUGUGGCUCAAUUCGAGGCUACGCGAAGAACCUUAUCCUAGUCUUGACAUGCUUUGGAAUCCUCCUGAAAGGGAGGAGUGCCGCAAGGAACCUUAGCACAGGUGCUGCAUGGCUGUCGUCAGCUCGUGUCGUGAGAUGUUCGGUUAAGUCCCUUAACGAGCGAAACCCUUGUCCUUAGUUGCCAGCGGGUCAUGCCGGGGACUCUAAGGAGACUGCCGUUGCUAAAACGGAGGAAGGUGGGGAUGACGUCAAGUCCUCAUGGCC